AUGAAGCUUGGUUGUGAGUCUUUGGAGUCCCAGCACUGUGGGUAUUAUGGAACAGCAUCCCAUGGGAUUCAGAGGAGACCGCAGCCCAUGGCUUUGCUUCAGGUUCCUCUUCCUGAGCAUGAACUUGCUCUGGUAAACAAACCAUUGUGUUCCAGCAGUCCCAUCAGUGCACAACUGAGUUCAAAGGGGCUCCAUUGCUUGCACAAACUUUCAAGACCCGUUGGGUGGAAGCUGGUGCAGAGUGGCUUUGUUCUGUGUGCUGAGCACCAUGGGGAGAGCUGUACGGUGCUGCUGGCCCUGCAGGAAGGUUUCCUCUGUCUGCUGCUGCCUGUGCCUUUAGCCUCGUUCCCAAAGACAUCCAAAGGGAAGGCACAGCACGGCCAGACCCUGCUGGGCUUUUGCCUUUGGAAGCUGCUGAAGCCGCUCUGCAGCUGGGGAAGGGCAGCCUGGGAGCUGUGCUGAGAGUCAGCACCUCCCCAGAGCUCUGCAUUACAGUCCCACGUCUAUCCAUGGUGUGGAUGGGAGGUGGUCCUGUGAUGGUUGAGCCCUCAGCCCUGAGCUGCCACAGGGCUGUCCUUUGCUGCUUGCUUCAGGAGCGGCCGCAGCCUCACGCUGGCUCUGCCCGUAAGUGGGAAGUUUCUUCCCAGUUUACACAAUCCAAACUGGAACUGGCGACAGGGUGGGGGCCGCACACUGCUCAGGGUCUGCCGUAGCCCCUGGCAUGGCACAGCCCUCCCCCCAGCCGUGGUGGUUGGUGAUGUCCCUUGGGUUUGGUCAUCCCUAAGGAAUCGAUGUCCAGAGGAUUUUCUUUGUUUUGGGCUCCUUGCGUUAGAAGGGGCGAUGCUUCCCCAGCUGCUGAGCGUCAGCGAGAAAAGGAAAAAAAUAAAUAUUUUUUUAAAAUACUGAAUUAAUUCUGCAGUAGCCUAAAAGAGACUUUAUAUCUACGUCGUAACUAUUUCCAUUGGUGACACCCAUCUCAGUGCAGGCUUCUGGCUGCCACGUGGUCUCCUGCACAGGGAUGGCUUUCACAUCCCAAGAGAUGUCCCUAUUUGUUCAGGGACAGAGGGGCCCGUGUCCCCCCCAGAGCCCUGCAGAGAGGGAUUGUGGUGGGACGUGGACCCGGUGCUGACCCAUGGAACAAUGGUGAGAGUCACUGCUGGAGAAUGAGCUGACUUUUCCGAGCAACUUGUCUUCUGAAGUUCAUAUUUUUGUCCUUUAUUUUUAAGCAGGAAAGAAUUAUCUCGACCUCCAGAAAAUCUACACCGUGUUUUACCUUUUUGUUGCAUUUGGUUGCUUUGCAAAAGAAAAGAAAAAAAAAAUUACUAAUUUAAAUGUUGCUGUAGAUGACGUUCUAUUUAUUUUUAAGGGGUAAAUAUCUUUUAAGUCUUAAUACUUCUACAGUCGAUGCUAUUUACAGUGUCUGUGUCCCAUUGGCACAGCAGUUCAGUGGCUGGCCGAACUGCUCCGCCAAUGGGAACGCCAUCAAACUGCCUUGUAAAACAAAAUGUCUCCCACCAUGUAUUUUUUCUAGUAUUUCUUGAUUCUUUUAUGUCGGUGGUUAACAAACCUGUUCCGUGUUCGGGUUGUUUUCUGUUUUGGGUUGUCUGUUUUGUUUUUUUGUUGUUGUUGUUUUGUUUUGUCUUUGUUUUUUAACAAAGAAAGCUGAAUUACAACUCUCCCGUUGCUGGUCUUUGCCUCCAACUCUUUUCAUUUUGCAUAA
Molecule: long non-coding RNA, 1720 nt
Organism: Meleagris gallopavo (turkey)
Lineage: Eukaryota; Metazoa; Chordata; Aves; Galliformes; Phasianidae
Source: Ensembl